UUGGCUUCCGCUGCAACUGC
Molecule: non-coding RNA, 20 nt
Filed under: Arabidopsis thaliana (thale cress)
Lineage: Eukaryota; Viridiplantae; Streptophyta; Magnoliopsida; Brassicales; Brassicaceae
Source: RNAcentral